ACUCAAAUGAAUUGACGGGGGCCCGCACAAGCGGUGGAGCAUGUGGUUUAAUUCGAUGCAACGCGAAGAACCUUACCUACCCUUGACAUCCUAGGAAUCUUUUAGAGAUAAGAGAGUGCCUUCGGGAGCCUAGAGACAGGUGCUGCAUGGCUGUCGUCAGCUCGUGUCGUGAGAUGUUGGGUUAAGUCCCGCAACGAGCGCAACCCUUAUCCUUAGUUACCAGCAUGAAAGAUGGGUACUUUAAGGAGACUGCCGGUGAUAAGCCGGAGGAAGGUGGGGACGACGUCAAGUCAUCAUGGCCCUUAUGGGUAGGGCUACACACGUGCUACAAUGGCCGUUACAGAGGGAAGCGAAGUCGCGAGGCGGAGCAAAUCUCACAAAAGCGGUCUUAGUCCGGAUUGUAGUCUGCAACUCGACUACAUGAAGUUGGAAUCGCUAGUAAUCGCAGAUCAGAAUGCUGCGGUGAAUACGUUCUCGGGCCUUGUACACACCGCCCGU
RNAcentral lists this ribosomal RNA (498 nucleotides) under uncultured bacterium. RNAcentral's name for it is "partial 16S ribosomal RNA". It matches the Rfam family "Bacterial small subunit ribosomal RNA", at positions 899 to 1397 of the family's 1533-position model. The record is from RNAcentral.